Molecule: transfer RNA, 81 nt
Filed under: Chaetophora sp. FACHB-2423
Lineage: Eukaryota; Viridiplantae; Chlorophyta; Chlorophyceae; Chaetophorales; Chaetophoraceae
Description: tRNA-Leu
Rfam family: tRNA
About the family: Transfer RNA (tRNA) molecules are approximately 80 nucleotides in length. Their secondary structure includes four short double-helical elements and three loops (D, anti-codon, and T loops). Further hydrogen bonds mediate the characteristic L-shaped molecular structure. tRNAs have two regions of fundamental functional importance: the anti-codon, which is responsible for specific mRNA codon recognition, and the 3' end, to which the tRNAs corresponding amino acid is attached (by aminoacyl-tRNA synthetases). tRNAs cope with the degeneracy of the genetic code in two manners: having more than one tRNA (with a specific anti-codon) for a particular amino acid; and 'wobble' base-pairing, i.e. permitting non-standard base-pairing at the 3rd anti-codon position.
Source: RNAcentral
GCCUCCGUGGUGGAAUGGUAGACACGCCGGUUUUAGGAACCGGUGCUGAAAAGCGUGUCGGUUCGAUCCCGACUGGAGGCA